RNAcentral lists this transfer RNA (96 nucleotides) under Planotetraspora phitsanulokensis. RNAcentral's name for it is "tRNA-Asp". Lineage: Bacteria; Bacillati; Actinomycetota; Actinomycetes; Streptosporangiales; Streptosporangiaceae. The record is from RNAcentral.
GCUCGCCCUCGCGGGCCGGGGCGCGAACGUCGUCGUCAACGACGUGGGGUCGGCCGCCGACGACGUCGUGGCCGAGAUCAAGGCCCGCGGCGGGCA